This 506-nucleotide ribosomal RNA is filed under the name Moraxella catarrhalis. RNAcentral's name for it is "bacterial SSU rRNA". It matches the Rfam family "Bacterial small subunit ribosomal RNA", at positions 210 to 708 of the family's 1533-position model. Lineage: Bacteria; Pseudomonadati; Pseudomonadota; Gammaproteobacteria; Moraxellales; Moraxellaceae. The record is from RNAcentral.
AGCUCUCGCUAUUAGAUGAGCCUAAGUCGGAUUAGCUGGUUGGUGGGGUAAAGGCCUACCGAGGCGACGAUCUGUAGCUGGUCUGAGAGGAUGAUCAGCCACACUGGGACUGAGACACGGCCCAGACUCCUACGGGAGGCAGCAGUGGGGAAUAUUGGACAAUGGGCGAAAGCCUGAUCCAGCCAUGCCGCGUGUGUGAAGAAGGCCUUUUGGUUGUAAAGCACUUUAAGUGGGGAGGAAAAGCUUAUGGUUAAUACCCAUAAGCCCUGACGUUACCCACAGAAUAAGCACCGGCUAACUCUGUGCCAGCAGCCGCGGUAAUACAGAGGGUGCAAGCGUUAAUCGGAAUUACUGGGCGUAAAGCGCGCGUAGGUGGUUAUUUAAGUCAGAUGUGAAAGCCCCGGGCUUAACCUGGGAACUGCAUCUGAUACUGGAUAACUAGAGUAGGUGAGAGGGGAGUAGAAUUCCAGGUGUAGCGGUGAAAUGCGUAGAGAUCUGGAGGAAUA